CAGUUGAACUCUUCGGAAGAACAAGAUGAUUAUUUCUUUUAAGGGCGCUUCCAGAAUUUACAAAGCUGGAAUUGUUCAUGUACCCAGCAGUGGAGCGGACAUACUUUGACUUGGCACCCGUUUCUAUCAGCUUCUACUGUCUGGGGUGUCCUGCCUGGUGAGCACACCUUCAGGAGAUGCAGGCUUCUUACUGUAGAGGACAAAGAGGGUAGUAAGAAGCUGAGUUCCUUGGCUUUUUCCUUCCUCUACCAGGGACUAGAAUGUCUAACUGUUGUACCAGCUCUCAGGCUGGUUAUGUUUGUGUAGUCAU
RNAcentral lists this long non-coding RNA (310 nucleotides) under Bos taurus (domestic cattle). RNAcentral's name for it is "long non-coding RNA NONBTAT006795". The record is from RNAcentral. Lineage: Eukaryota; Metazoa; Chordata; Mammalia; Artiodactyla; Bovidae.